RNAcentral lists this transfer RNA (73 nucleotides) under Candidatus Magnetobacterium bavaricum. RNAcentral describes it as "tRNA-Ala". It matches the Rfam family "tRNA". From Rfam's summary of the family: Transfer RNA (tRNA) molecules are approximately 80 nucleotides in length. Their secondary structure includes four short double-helical elements and three loops (D, anti-codon, and T loops). The record is from RNAcentral. Lineage: Bacteria; Pseudomonadati; Nitrospirota; Thermodesulfovibrionia; Thermodesulfovibrionales; Magnetobacteriaceae (SeqCode).
GGCGGUUAGCUCAGUUGGGAGAGCAUCACGUUCGCAACGUGGGGGUCGGGGGUUCGAAUCCCCUACCGUCCAU